RNAcentral lists this long non-coding RNA (2381 nucleotides) under Mytilus galloprovincialis (Mediterranean mussel). The record is from RNAcentral. Lineage: Eukaryota; Metazoa; Mollusca; Bivalvia; Mytilida; Mytilidae.
GUCUUUUUUAUUUUUUUACCGUACACCUUUUACAUUUAUUGACAUUAUAAUAAAAAUCAUAAAAAUUUAUGAAUUACAAUUAAUAUAUAUCUUUAUUUUUAUUUCUUAUAUACAUGAUAAAUAUAUUUUUUAUUGGGGCCGGAUCGAUUUUACAUAUGGGAUGGAUCGACGUUGGGCCGGAUCGACUUGGGCCGGAUCUACGUGGGGCCAGAUCGACCCAAAAGCUUAUUCUUGCUGUGACACUUUCCUGUCGCAGAAAGGGAUCAAGGCAAGAAAUAAAAUAGCCUUUCAUGACUUCACAAAAAUAACAUAUUUUAUAUUUUUCCAGCACCAGCAAUAAUUUUAUCCCUCUAUACAGGUAUAAACACCAUAUAGAGGGUUUGUUCCCAACCGGAUAAAUAAAACUUAGAUAUGAUGUCUUCUCCUUGUACAUUUUUUGUACUUAGCUACAAAAGGACAGCAGGAGUCUACAUGCCAGUUUGUAGAAUUUGAAGCGUUUUACGUUUUUGUGGUUUUAUCAUAGAGUAUUGACCCUUUGACUGCCAUGGCAUUGAAAAACGUUUUACCUUUGACUGCUAAGAAUCGGCCUGGCUUCGAACUUUAUCAAACAGCGCCAUGGCAACCCUGACAACAAUUGAUAACGUCACGCUAUUCUGCAUGGUACCUGUAUAUGAUUGCUCGUGUGAUGACACCACAGUAUGUCUGCUUCGUUCAUUUAUCACUCUCAAGUGUCGAAUGUUUUUACUGUAUUUGUGUUUUUUUUUAUAUUUGAUCAGUCUUUUAAUUGGUGUUAAUUGCAAUUUAUUAGUAUUUGUAAAAACUGAUAGCCUCAUUGACUUUAAUGGUAUUCAGAAAAUCUGUGCCACAUGGCCAAUAUUUUGGCCUUAAAGUUAUUUCUCAAAAAUGCCACGGCCCAUUUUAAAUCGUUUGUGUUGUAUGAAAUAAACCAUAAUUAGUUAUGGUGACAACACCAGUGUUUAGUUUAAAAUAUUUAACGGUUUUACUUCGAUUGACAUCAGAAGAAGUGUGACGUCUUUUGCAUCACUUUUAAAUUCACGACAGGCUCCCGUUCUAGAACAAACUCUAUGUGUAAUAUGCUUUAUUAAACUCAAAUGUUCGGAUUUGUGUAUCAAAUUCCAUUGUCAAACUUUUGAAGAAGAAAAAUAAAAACAAUAAAAAAACUUCGGGCUUUGGAAAAGUUUUCUGAUUUUGUUCUACAUGCCUUUAGUUUGUAUAAUAUCAAACAUCGUCACAGCAAAUAGGUAUUUCGUCAAUUUCGGUAAAUGAUAGAGCGAGAAUAUAAAUUUAUUUGUGAAAAUUGCCACUGUGUGAAAUUAAGUUCCUACAAUUACAGACAGGCAAAUUUUCUUUGUCUUGUUUUACUUUUUAGUUGAUGAUAAAAUUGAAAAUGGAAAUGGGGAAUAUGUCAAAGAGACAAGAACCCGACCAAAUAUGUUAAAGGAUGGCUUCUUAAAGUCAAGUGGCAAAUAAAUAUGCAUAUAUUAAGGACGUGAACAUGCCACUUCUUCAUUUACUGUGGAUUCAUUUAUUUUCGUGGGUAUCAAUUUUCGUGGAUAGAGAAAAAAAGACGUUUCGUGGUAUACGUAAAUUCGUGGAUCGCUGAUUACAACCAAAACAAUUAGAUACGUAAUUCGUGGAUUUCUUUUUGAUUUAGGAGAUUAUAUAACAUCCUUGGUUCGAUCAAUAAUAAAACAAAACAAAAAAGAAGGAAUUCAUUGAAAAAGUUUUGAGUUGUCAAAAUCCUCGCUUAAUUGGUCAUUCUAGGUUAAAGUGUUCAUUGAUAACUUCGAUUACAAUAAUGGGCAGAGACAACUAAUAGUGUUUCCUGCAGCUUUUAAAAAGGGCAGGGUAAUUGUUAGCUCAGAGGGCACAUUAAGCGCGAUGGACAACAAUUUUAGGGCACUUACUUAACAUAAACAGGCAAUUUCUAUAAAAUGGAUUCAUUUAAAACAUACUAGUUUAAUACUAUAAAAAGGACAUAUACAUCUGUAAUCAAUCAUUAAAACAAAUUGUUAAACAAGAAAAAGUGUGUAAAACAUAUAUAUAUGAAAUAUUUAAAACAAUAAACACAAUUAAAAACAAAAUCAGUUCUUUAAAAACAAGAAAGCACUAUGUCAUAUACAUGUAUAUAAAAAUAUUGCUUUGGUCAUAUCAAUUGUCAUUGACAAAUCCUCCUUUUUUUCCUUAAAAACAGGUUGACACAUUCCCUGAUAUCCAGGGUCAUUUUUAGUAACCAAAAUUUAUUAAAUUACAAAAAAAAAUAACUUUACAAAUUAACCCCUUCCCCUCUACACCCUUUUCCAAAUUAAAUUAAUAUAGAUACAACAAGUUUUACUACUUUCAUGGCACUACCAUAUCAG